RNAcentral lists this ribosomal RNA (1389 nucleotides) under uncultured bacterium. Its description in RNAcentral is "partial 16S ribosomal RNA". It matches the Rfam family "Bacterial small subunit ribosomal RNA". The record is from RNAcentral.
AGUUUGAUCCUGGCUCAGGAUGAACGCUGGCGGCAGGCUUAACACAUGCAAGUCGAGGGGUAACAGGGGUUUCCGCCCGCUGACGACCGGCGGAUGGGUGAGUAACGCGUAUGCCACCUACCUUUAACAGUGGGAUAGCUCCCUGAAAGGGGAAUUAACACCGCAUAAGACCACGUUGUCACCUGACAGAGUGGUAAAAUAUUUAUAGGUUACAGAUGGGCAUGCGUGACAUUAGCCAGUUGGUGAGGUAACGGCUCACCAAAGCAACGAUGUCUAGGGGUUCUGAGAGGAAGGUCCCCCACACUGGUACUGAGACACGGACCAGACUCCUACGGGAGGCAGCAGUGAGGAAUAUUGGUCAAUGGACGCAAGUCUGAACCAGCCAUCUCGCGUGCAGGAUGACUGCCCUACGGGUUGUAAACUGCUUUUUUACGAGAAGAAACUUGUCUACGUGUAGAUAAUUGACAGUAUCGUAUGAAUAAGGAUCGGCUAACUCCGUGCCAGCAGCCGCGGUAAUACGUAGGUGGCAAGCGUUGUCCGGAUUUACUGGGUGUAAAGGGCGUGUAGGCGGGGAUGCAAGUCAGAUGUGAAAUCCCGUGGCUCAACCACGGAAUUGCAUCUGAAACUGCGUUUCUUGAGUGUCGGAGGGGAAAGUGGAAUUCCUAGUGUAGCGGUGAAAUGCGUAGAUAUUAGGAGGAACACCGGUGGCGAACGCGACUUUCUGGACGACAACUGACGCUGAGACGCGAAAGCGUGGGGAGCAAACAGGAUUAGAUACCCUGGUAGUCCACGCCGUAAACGAUGAGCACUAGUUGUUGGUUCCGCAUGGAAUCAGUGACGCAGUUAACGCAAUAAGUGCUCCGCCUGGGGAGUACGGUCGCAAGACUAAAACUCAAAGGAAUUGACGGGGACCCGCACAAGCAGCGGAGCAUGUGGUUUAAUUCGAAGCAACGCGAAGAACCUUACCAGGUCUUGACAUCCCUCUGACAGGCUCUUAACCGAGCCCUUCUUCGGACAGAGGAGACAGGUGGUGCAUGGUUGUCGUCAGCCCGUGUCGUGAGAUGUAGGGUUAAGUCCCAUAACGAGCGCAACCCUUGUCGUUAGUUACUAACAUUAAGUUGAGGACUCUAGCGAGACUGCCGAGGUUAACUCGGAGGAAGGUGGGGAUGACGUCAAAUCAUCAUGCCCCUUAUGAUCUGGGCUACACACGUGCUACAAUGGUCGGAAACAAUGGGAAGCAAAGCGGUGACGUGGAGCAAAACACCAAAACCGGCCCCAGUUCGGAUUGCAGGCUGCAACUCGCCUGCAUGAAGUCGGAGUUGCUAGUAAUCGCGGAUCAGAAUGCCGCGGUGAAUGCGUUCCCGGGUCUUGUACUCACCGCCCGUCAAG